Molecule: ribosomal RNA, 77 nt
Filed under: uncultured bacterium
Lineage: Bacteria
Description: partial 16S ribosomal RNA
Source: RNAcentral
GUCAAGUUGCGUUCCAGAAGUCGGCGCGCUAACCGCAAGGGAGGCAGCUGCCCAAGGAGUGGUUGGUAACUGGGGUG